GAGGAAGAGAGCAGCUCGCUUCUAACUGGACUGCACGUUGGUGACAGCGUCCCAAGCUGGUGACAGACCCACUCUGUAACUUUCAGCUAGAUUCAGCCACCAGAUCCCAGAAACAUGACCCUUGCUGGACAAGCACGCCGAGGAGGUGCGGAAAAACAAGGAGCUGAAGGAAGAGGCCUCCAGGUAAAGCCUAGAGGCCAAAGAACUUUCCAGGUCAGCCGGACAGCUCCAGCAGCUCCACGUUCCAGGCAGCCUCGCCCGCCGGCUGCGCUCCCAGCACUGGGGUUUGGGGGGAGGGGGGUGGCCAAGGGGCGUUUCCUCUGCUUUUGGUGUUUGUACAUGUUAAGAAUUGACCAGUGAAGCCAUCCUAUUUGUUUCCGGGGAACAAUGACGGGGUGGGAGAGGGGAGAGGAGAGAGUUUGGGAAAGGGAGAUGGAGAAGAACUCAAGGACAUUGCAACCCUGCCCGGCGCAGAUCUGAUUUUCACAUCUCUACCUGGACAUUGAGCCUCCAGGCACCAUGUUGAGGAGAGAUGAAAACCAGGGCGGUAGAACUUCAGGGUGAAGGACAGAGUCCUGGGUGGGGCAGCGGCUGCAGGGCGCACCAGAGAACCCAGCCAGAGGGGUUGUGAGUACCAGUGGUGUUGCUUCCACCCUGCAGCAGGUGGGAUGAGGUCUGUGUGUGUGUGUGAACCAUCAUUUUUUGAUCAUCAUGACCAAUGAAACAUUGACUCC
Molecule: long non-coding RNA, 734 nt
Filed under: Homo sapiens (human)
Lineage: Eukaryota; Metazoa; Chordata; Mammalia; Primates; Hominidae
Description: non-protein coding lnc-TRIM35-1:2
Source: RNAcentral